This 314-nucleotide long non-coding RNA is filed under the name Rhinopithecus bieti (black snub-nosed monkey). Its description in RNAcentral is "lncRNA (ENSRBIG00000045750.1)". Lineage: Eukaryota; Metazoa; Chordata; Mammalia; Primates; Cercopithecidae. The record is from RNAcentral.
CCAACUUUUCCAAAGGGACAGCUAGCUUUUACAACUAAAUGGACGAUGAAAGAAAACAAAAAUGGAAAAUCUCGAAGGCUCCUCAAUACAAUUGGAAUAGAAAGAAUGCAGCAGCCCACCUCACCCACCAAACUCUGAAUUCUUUCUUUCUGCUAAGGAAUGGAGCUAAAAGAGAGGCCACAAACUGCACAAAAGCUGUACCCAGGCUCAUAUUUCUGCUCCUAUCCUGUGGAGUCGGGAAGAAUGGCAGAUCUGAAGGAUGGCCAGGGGCAUGAUGACUUGAGGAAAAAACACACAGAAACCGUGUUCCAGCA